This 59-nucleotide small RNA is filed under the name uncultured Dinobryon. Its description in RNAcentral is "partial Mitochondrion-encoded tmRNA". Lineage: Eukaryota; Chrysophyceae; Chromulinales. The record is from RNAcentral.
UAAGUCAAUACAAGUUUUCAUAUAAAUUUCAUGCUUAGUUAAUGGUCCAACUUCAUUUG